This 525-nucleotide ribosomal RNA is filed under the name uncultured bacterium. Its description in RNAcentral is "bacterial SSU rRNA". It matches the Rfam family "Bacterial small subunit ribosomal RNA", at positions 984 to 1509 of the family's 1533-position model. The record is from RNAcentral.
ACAUCCAGAGAACUUAGCAGAGAUGCUUUGGUGCCUUCGGGAACUCCGAGACAGGUGCUGCAUGGCUGUCGUCAGCUCGUGUUGUGAAAUGUUGGGUUAAGUCCCGCAACGAGCGCAACCCUUAUCCUUUGUUGCCAGCGGUCCGGCCGGGAACUCAAAGGAGACUGCCAGUGAUAAACUGGAGGAAGGUGGGGAUGACGUCAAGUCAUCAUGGCCCUUACGAGUAGGGCUACACACGUGCUACAAUGGCGCAUACAAAGAGAAGCGACCUCGCGAGAGCAAGCGGACCUCAUAAAGUGCGUCGUAGUCCGGAUUGGAGUCUGCAAUUCGACUCCAUGAAGUCGGAAUCGCUAGUAAUCGUAGAUCAGAAUGCUACGGUGAAUACGUUCCCGGGCCUUGUACACACCGCCCGUCACACCAUGGGAGUGGGUUGCAAAAGAAGUAGGUAGCUUAACCUUCGGGAGGGCGCUUACCACUUUGUGAUUCAUGACUGGGGUGAAGUCGUAACAAGGUAGGCGUAGACGU